Molecule: ribosomal RNA, 245 nt
Filed under: uncultured bacterium
Lineage: Bacteria
Description: partial 16S ribosomal RNA
Rfam family: Bacterial small subunit ribosomal RNA
Source: RNAcentral
UACGAAGGGGGCUAGCGUUGCUCGGAAUUACUGGGCGUAAAGGGCGCGUAGGCGGUUUGGUAAGUUAGGCGUGAAAUUCCAGGGCUCAACCUUGGGACUGCGCUUGAUACUGCUGAACUUGAGGAUGGAAGAGGGUCGUGGAAUUCCCAGUGUAGAGGUGAAAUUCGUAGAUAUUGGGAAGAACACCGGUGGCGAAGGCGGCGACCUGGUCCAUUACUGACGCUGAGGCGCGACAGCGUGGGGAG